RNAcentral lists this ribosomal RNA (421 nucleotides) under uncultured bacterium. Its description in RNAcentral is "bacterial SSU rRNA". It matches the Rfam family "Bacterial small subunit ribosomal RNA", at positions 355 to 768 of the family's 1533-position model. The record is from RNAcentral.
UAGGGAAUAUUGGACAAUGGGGGCAACCCUGAUCCAGCCAUGCCGCGUGAGUGAAGAGGGCCCUCGGGUUGUAAAGCUCUUUUGUCCGGAAAGAAAAGCAUUCGGUGAAUACCCGGAUGUUCUGACGGUACCGGAAGAAUAAGCACCGGCUAACUUCGUGCCAGCAGCCGCGGUAAUACGCAGGGUGCAAGCGUUACUCGGAAUUACUGGGCGUAAAGCGUGCGUAGGUGGUUGUUUAAGGCUGAUGUGAAAGCCCUGGGCUCAACCUGGGAAUGGCAGUUGAGUCUGGGCAGCUAGAGUGCGGUAGAGGGUAGUGGAAUUCCCGGUGUAGCAGUGAAAUGCGUAGAGUUCGGGAGGAACAUCUGUGGCGAAGGCGACUGCCUGGACCAGCACUGACACUUCGGCACGAAAGCGUGGGGAG